This 441-nucleotide ribosomal RNA is filed under the name uncultured bacterium. RNAcentral describes it as "partial 16S ribosomal RNA". It matches the Rfam family "Bacterial small subunit ribosomal RNA", at positions 338 to 795 of the family's 1533-position model. The record is from RNAcentral.
CCUACGGGAGGCAGCAGUGGGGAAUAUUGCACAAUGGGGGAAACCCUGAUGCAGCGACGCCGCGUGAGUGAAGAAGUAUUUCGGUAUGUAAAGCUCUAUCAGCAGGAACGAGACAAGACGGUACCUGACUAAGAAGCCCCGGCUAACUACGUGCCAGCAGCCGCGGUAAUACGUAGGGGGCAAGCGUUAUCCGGAAUCACUGGGGGUAAAGGGAGCGUAGACGGCUGUGCAAGCCUGAAGUGAAAGGCGGGGGCCCAACCCCUGGACUGCUUUGGGAACUGUACGGCUGGAGGGCAGGAGAGGUAAGUGGAAUUCCUAGUGUAGCGGUGAAAUGCGUAGAUAUUAGGAGGAACACCAGUGGCGAAGGCGGCUUACUGGACUGUAACUGACGUUGAGGCUCGAAAGCGUGGGGAGCAAACAGGAUUAGAUACCCCUGUAGUC